RNAcentral lists this ribosomal RNA (110 nucleotides) under Anolis carolinensis (green anole). The record is from RNAcentral. Lineage: Eukaryota; Metazoa; Chordata; Lepidosauria; Squamata; Anolidae.
GCCCAUGCCUACACUAAAGGCACCAGAUCCUGUAUGAUCUUGGAAGUUAAGCAGGGUCCUGGUUAGUAGUUAGAUGGGAGACCACCAACAAAUACCAGGAGUUGUAGGCA